This 411-nucleotide ribosomal RNA is filed under the name uncultured bacterium. RNAcentral's name for it is "bacterial SSU rRNA". It matches the Rfam family "Bacterial small subunit ribosomal RNA", at positions 359 to 773 of the family's 1533-position model. The record is from RNAcentral.
GAAUAUUGCGCAAUGGGCGAAAGCCUGACGCAGCGACGCCGCGUGUGGGAUGACGGCCUUCGGGUUGUAAACCACUGUCGGGAGGGACGAAUGCGCCGCAAGGCGAGUGACGGUACCUCCAAAGGAAGCACCGGCUAACUCCGUGCCAGCAGCCGCGGUAAUACGGGGGGGGCAAGCGUUGUUCGGAAUUACUGGGCGUAAAGGGCUCGUAGGCGGCCAACUAAGUCGGAUGUGAAAUCCCCAGGCUCAACCUGGGAACUGCAUCCGAUACUGGAUGGCUUGAAUUCGGGAGAGGGAUGCAGAAUUCCAGGUGUAGCGGUGAAAUGCGUAGAUAUCUGGAGGAAUACCGGUGGCGAAGGCGGCAUCCUGGACCGAGAUUGACGCUGAGGAGCGAAAGCUAGGGGAGCAAAC